Molecule: transfer RNA, 72 nt
Filed under: Bos taurus (domestic cattle)
Lineage: Eukaryota; Metazoa; Chordata; Mammalia; Artiodactyla; Bovidae
Also listed under: 6 other names
Rfam family: tRNA
About the family: Transfer RNA (tRNA) molecules are approximately 80 nucleotides in length.
Source: Rfam by way of RNAcentral
UCCCUGGUGGCUCAGAUGGUAAAGAAUCUGCCUGAAAUGCACAAGACCUGGGUUUGAUCCCUGGGCAGGGAG